Molecule: ribosomal RNA, 659 nt
Filed under: uncultured eukaryote
Lineage: Eukaryota
Description: SSU rRNA
Rfam family: Eukaryotic small subunit ribosomal RNA
Source: RNAcentral
UUGCAGUUAAAAAGCUCGUAGUUGGAUAUCUGGGAGGGUGCCAAUGUCCGUCAACGUGCGUGUGCAGCGGCGCCCUUCCAUCCUUCUGUUAACGCCUCUGGGCAUUUACUUGCCGGUGGCGGGCUCAGAUAUUUUACCUUGAGAAAAUUAGAGUGUUUCAGGCAGGCUAGGCCGGAAUACAUUAGCAUGGAAUAAUAGAAUAGGACUAUGGUCUCUUUGUUGGUUUGAGGGACUAUGGUAAUGAUUAAUAGGGAUAGUUGGGGGCAUUAGUAUUUAAUUGUCAGAGGUGGAAUUCUCAGAUUUGUUAAAGACUAACUUAUGCGAAAGCAUUUGCCAAGGAUGUUUUCAUUAAUCAAGAACGAAAGUUAGGGGAUCAAAGACGAUCAGAUACCGUCCUAGUCUUAACCAUAAACUAUGCCGACUCGGGAUCGGGGGCGCGAACUAUCCGCCUUCGGCACCGUAUGAGAAAUCAAGGUCUUUGGGUUCUGGGGGGAGUAUGGUCGCAAGGCCGAAACUUAAAGGAAUUGACGGAAGGGCACCACCAGGCGUGGAGCUUGCGGCUCAAUUUGACUCAACACGGGAAAACUUACCAGGUCCAGACAUAGUAAGGAUUGACAGAUUGAUAGCUCUUUCUUGAUUCUAUGGGUGGUGGUGCAUGG